ACGCAACGGGAAUGUAGGUAAAAAUUGCUUCCAUCACUUACACUUAACACUUUUCUCGAUCUUCAAAGAAGACUAACUCCUCCUACUCCUCCUUCUCUUGUCCUGUAUAUAGCUCGUUGUUGGUCCUUAUACACUUAUCGAUGACUGCCCGAUGAUGGCUCAAUCAUCUACUUACGUAAUUUCCAAAUCCACUUUGUUAGCAGACAAUCUUGGGAACUACUAUGGACACAAAAUAGUCUUCAUUUCUAUUUUUUAGAUUUUUUUUACGAAAUUUUAAGUCACCAAAAUAAGCUUAUUCCCUGCCA
This 305-nucleotide long non-coding RNA is filed under the name Citrus sinensis (sweet orange). Its description in RNAcentral is "long non-coding RNA (CSIN_LNC004400)". The record is from RNAcentral. Lineage: Eukaryota; Viridiplantae; Streptophyta; Magnoliopsida; Sapindales; Rutaceae.